CCGCUCUCAAAGUGGCUGUGAAAUGCGUCCUUUUUCCGGGGGGGAGGCUCUAUCCUAUUCGCAUAUCACAGCCAGCUUUGAAGAGCGUCA
RNAcentral lists this microRNA precursor (90 nucleotides) under Anopheles stephensi (Asian malaria mosquito). RNAcentral describes it as "mir-2 microRNA precursor". It matches the Rfam family "mir-2 microRNA precursor family". Rfam says of the family: The miRNAs are transcribed as ~70nt precursors (modelled here) and subsequently processed by the Dicer enzyme to give a ~22nt product. In this case the mature sequence comes from the 3' arm of the precursor. The extents of the hairpin precursors are not generally known and are estimated based on hairpin prediction. The record is from Rfam by way of RNAcentral. Lineage: Eukaryota; Metazoa; Arthropoda; Insecta; Diptera; Culicidae.